GGACGAUUAGCUCAGUUGGUAGAGCGUUCCGGUCACAUCGGAAAGGUCAAAGGUUCGAGCCCUUUAUCGUCCACCA
This 76-nucleotide transfer RNA is filed under the name Patescibacteria group bacterium. Its description in RNAcentral is "tRNA-Val". It matches the Rfam family "tRNA". Rfam says of the family: Transfer RNA (tRNA) molecules are approximately 80 nucleotides in length. Their secondary structure includes four short double-helical elements and three loops (D, anti-codon, and T loops). The record is from RNAcentral.